CCGACGGGUGAGUAACACGUAUGCAAUCCACCUGUAACAGGGGAUAACCCGGAGAAAUCCGGACUAAUACCCCAUAAUAUGGGCGCUCCGCAUGGAGAGUCCAUUAAAGAGAGCAAUCUUGGUUACAGACGAGCAUGCGCUCCAUUAGCCAGUUGGCGGGGUAACGGCCCACCAAGGCGACGAUGGAUAGGGGUUCUGAGAGGAAGGUCCCCCACAUUGGAACUGAGACACGGUCCAA
This 238-nucleotide ribosomal RNA is filed under the name uncultured bacterium. RNAcentral's name for it is "partial 16S ribosomal RNA". It matches the Rfam family "Bacterial small subunit ribosomal RNA", at positions 102 to 334 of the family's 1533-position model. The record is from RNAcentral.